AUGGCCAUUAUCAAGCUCUUCGGUAAAGCCACAUGUCUUAAGAUAAACCCAGCAAAAUCAUCCGUUGCCACGAUUAGUUGUGAGGUCUUAGACCUGCAGGGCGUGCUCCAUAGUUUCAAAGGUAGAACCGUAGGCUUCCCCAUGACUUAUCUAGGCAUGCCGAUCACCAUAUCUAGGUUGCGGCUGGUUCAUCUUCAGUUCAUCCUCGACCGUAUCCGCGCGCGCCUAGCAGGCUGGAAGGGUCGCCUACUGUCCACAACCGGCAAAAGAGUGCUGGUCCGGUGCGUGCUGACGGUUAUGCCAACGUAUGCGAUCACCGUCCUCCGGGCGCCAAUCAAGUUUUUCAAGGACGUGGACAAGGUCCGUUGGCGUUUCCUCUAG
Molecule: ribosomal RNA, 381 nt
Filed under: Triticum aestivum (bread wheat)
Lineage: Eukaryota; Viridiplantae; Streptophyta; Magnoliopsida; Poales; Poaceae
Description: partial small subunit ribosomal RNA
Source: RNAcentral